GAUGAACGCUGGCGGCGUGCCUAAUACAUGCAAGUCGAGCGGCAAGACGAUGAGCUUGUUCCUCUGAGGUUGGCGGCGGACGGGUGAGUAACACGUGGAUCACCUACUUAUAAGUCUGGGAUAACUACGGGAAAAAGGAGCUACUACCGGCUAAUAUAUUGUACGGCUGGGUUCAAUAGUGCAUGGGGGUUUUGGUGUUUGUUAUAGCUGGUUCCGCGCCGCAUUAGCUAGUUGGUAAGGUAACGGCUUACCAAGGCAACGAUGCGUAGCCGACCUGAGAGGGUGAUCAGCCACACUGGAACUGAGACACGGUCCAGACUCCUACGGGAGGCAGCAGUAGGGAAUCUUCAGCAAUGGGCGAAAGCCUGACCGAGCCACGCCGCGUGAGUGAAGAAGGCCUUCGGAUUGUAAAACUCUGUUGUUGGGGAAGAAAAGAAGCAUGAGUAUCUAUGGACGUCUUGACGGUACCUAAAGAAAAAGCACCGGCUAACUUCGUG
Molecule: ribosomal RNA, 497 nt
Filed under: uncultured bacterium
Lineage: Bacteria
Description: partial 16S ribosomal RNA
Rfam family: Bacterial small subunit ribosomal RNA
Source: RNAcentral